This 395-nucleotide ribosomal RNA is filed under the name uncultured bacterium. RNAcentral's name for it is "partial 16S ribosomal RNA". It matches the Rfam family "Bacterial small subunit ribosomal RNA", at positions 523 to 918 of the family's 1533-position model. The record is from RNAcentral.
AUACGUAGGGUGCAAGCGUUAAUCGGAAUUACUGGGCGUAAAGCGUGCGCAGGCGGUUUUGUAAGACAGUGGUGAAAUCCCCGGGCUCAACCUGGGAACUGCCAUUGUGACUGCAAGGCUGGAGUGCGGCAGAGGGGGAUGGAAUUCCGCGUGUAGCAGUGAAAUGCGUAGAUAUGCGGAGGAACACCGAUGGCGAAGGCAAUCCCCUGGGUCUGCACUGACGCUCAUGCACGAAAGCGUGGGGAGCAAACAGGAUUAGAUACCCUGGUAGUCCACGCCCUAAACGAUGUCAACUGGUUGUUGGGGAUUUAUUUUCUCAGUAACGAAGCUAACGCGUGAAGUUGACCGCCUGGGGAGUACGGCCGCAAGGUUAAAACUCAAAUGAAUUGACGGGG